This 423-nucleotide RNase P RNA is filed under the name Treponema sp. RNAcentral describes it as "RNase P RNA component class A". It matches the Rfam family "Bacterial RNase P class A". Rfam says of the family: Ribonuclease P (RNase P) is a ubiquitous endoribonuclease, found in archaea, bacteria and eukarya as well as chloroplasts and mitochondria. Its best characterised activity is the generation of mature 5'-ends of tRNAs by cleaving the 5'-leader elements of precursor-tRNAs. Cellular RNase Ps are ribonucleoproteins. Lineage: Bacteria; Pseudomonadati; Spirochaetota; Spirochaetia; Treponematales; Treponemataceae. The record is from RNAcentral.
GCAGAAGAAAUAUAACCGCGCCGCAAAUUGAUAAUGACAUCUUUUUGCGGUGAGGCAAAGUCCGGGCUCCGCCGGAAAAAAUGCCGGAUAACGACCGGGAGAAAAACGGAAGUUGCAAAUUUUCGCUUUUGCGAAAACUAACAUAACCCGUUCUUCUACAGACAGCGCAGCAGAAAACAAACCGCCCGGCCUUGGUCGGGUAAGGGUGAAAAGGCGGUGUAAGAGACCACCGGACGCUUGGCGACAAGCGCCGCAUUGCAAGCCUCAUUUGGAGCAAGGUCAAGAAGCGGCUGUUUUUCCGGGACAUAAGCCGCGGGUAGACCGCUAAAAUUUUUAGGCGACUAAAAAUUCGGAUAGAUGGUUAUGGCUUUGCCUUUUUUGGGCAAGGUUGCCAGAACCCGGCUUACGAUUUCUUCUGCUUUU